UUUUAAUUGGAUUUGGUGUGAUUACCUUGAGUGUCAACCUUUUUGAAAUGUAUCAAGUUCUAUCAUUUGGAAAUAAUAAAGAAGAGUUUUUAUUGAACUUUAUAGUUGUAAUCGUAAUUCUUUUAUAUAUGUUCUUAGCUAAUUACGCUGGACAAGAAAUUAUAGAUCACAAUAAUCAUAUAUAUUAUACCGCAUAUAGCGGUUGCUGGUAUGUAGCACCGUUACACGUACAGAAGCUGAUAUUAUUUUUAUUACAAAGAGGCAGCAAAGUUGUUAGUUUAAAUGUGGGAGGACUGUUCGCAGCAUCUUUAAACUGCUUUGCUUCCUUAGCAAGUGCAUCGGUAUCUUAUUUCACUUUUAUAUAUUCUACACAUUAA
Molecule: long non-coding RNA, 377 nt
Organism: Camponotus floridanus (Florida carpenter ant)
Lineage: Eukaryota; Metazoa; Arthropoda; Insecta; Hymenoptera; Formicidae
Exons: 4
Source: RefSeq, a predicted model, not a curated record